AGAGUUUGAUCAUGGCUCAGAUUGAACGCUGGCGGCAUGCCUUACACGUGCAAGUCGAACGGCAACACGGGGGCAACCCUGGUGGCGAGUGGCGAACGGGUGAGUAACACAUCGGAACGUGUCCAGUUGUGGGGGAUAACCCAUCGAAAGGUGGGCUAAUACCGCAUGAUCUGGCAACAGCAAAGCAGGGGACCCGCAAGGGCCUUGCGCGAUUGGAGCGGCCGAUGUCCGAUUAGCUAGUUGGUGGGGUAAAGGCCUACCAAGGCGACGAUCGGUAGCUGGUCUGAGAGGAUGAUCAGCCACACUGGGACUGAGACACGGCCCAGACUCCUACGGGAGGCAGCAGUGGGGAAUUUUGGACAAUGGGGGCAACCCUGAUCCAGCCAUGCCGCGUGAGUGAAGAAGGCCUUCGGGUUGUAAAGCUCUUUCGGUGGGAACGAAACGGUGCUGGCUAACACCCUGCACUACUGACGGUACUCACAGAAGAAGCACCGGCUAACUACGUGCCAGCAGCCGCGGUAAUACGUAGGGUGCGAGCGUUAAUCGGAAUUACUGGGCGUAAAGCGUGCGCAGGCGGUUACUUAAGUCAGGUGUGAAAGCCCUGGGCUUAACCUAGGAAUUGCGCUUGAGACUGGGUAGCUUUGAGUGUGGCAGAGGGAGGUGGAAUUCCCGUGUAGCAGUGAAAUGCGUAGAGAUGUGGAGGGACACCGAUGGCGAAGGCAGCCUCCUGGGCCAGCACUGACGCUCAUGCACGAAAGCGUGGGGAGCAAACAGGAUUAGAUACCCCCGUAGUCC
Molecule: ribosomal RNA, 795 nt
Filed under: uncultured bacterium
Lineage: Bacteria
Description: bacterial SSU rRNA
Rfam family: Bacterial small subunit ribosomal RNA
Source: RNAcentral